AAUGAGUAGUCAUAAUAUGAGAAGCCCAAGCCACAUGGGGAGACCACAUGGAGAACUAACUUGCCUCUGUCAAUCCCAUAUGAUCUCCCUGCCAAGUGCCAGCAUCAAAUGCCAACCAUGUGAGUGAGCCAAGUCGGACAUUCCAGGCCAAUUUUAGAUUGGCCCAAUAGCCUGACAUUUACAGCCAUUCAACAAUGGCCCAGCAAGUAUCACGUAGAGAGAAAAAAACUGAGCCCAAUCAUUUCAUGGAAAAAUAAGAGAUAAUCAGAUAGCUGUUUUAGGUGUUUAAAUUUUGAUAUGGCUUAUAAUGCAGCAAUAUAAAAGAAAAAAGGUCAAUAUCUGUAAAGGUUUCUUAAGUUACAAUCCCUGCUCAUUAGUCCAUCAGUAAAGCCCUCAGGUAAAAUUCACAUCUUUGUGUCUGGACCCCAUUCUUUUAUCCGAGGAGUACUGUUCUGCUUCCUACUGUAUUAAUCCACAGCCUAGUUUGGCCUGCACUUUCUAGACCCAGAAUCAGCGUGAAAAUUAUAAAAAGUCCUCAGUCUCUUAGAGCUGGACAAAGUUCAGAGUUUAAAGGACAACUACAUUUAUAUUAUUGUAUUCAUAGCUAUCUUUAUCUCUUUUGUUACCUGGACAGAUUCAUGCAGAACUUAUUCAAGAAAAGCAAACCCUUCUCCAUAUGCAUUUUGGAAAAUCACUUGCAGCCAUUGCUUAGAAUUUUUAAUUUAUUUUGAGCUCGGGUUUCUCUCUGAUUGAAAGUUUAUAUAACAAACUCGACUUCUGAGAUUAAGAGAUGAGAUUCUAAGGCAAGAAUCAUUUAGAAGAUACUCCUUUAUUCAAGAAAAACAACUGAUUGUUACUUUUUAUAUAAUACUAUAAUCACUCUCCCUUUCCCUCUCUUCACCACUUUAUAUUCAGAAAGUUUGCUUAUAACUAUGUUAUAUCCAUUUUGGGGAGGUCUAUACUAGCAGAGAGAGUUUUCCCAAAAUUUUUGACUGAGUAAAUUCAUUAAUAUCAAGUACUUACAGAUUAUAUGAUUUCACUUUUUUCAUCUUUAGUUUUUCUGACCUAUAUGAGGCCAAUAAAGAGCCUAGAACUCAGAACUGAAUUUGGAGAAAAGACGUUAGGUAUGAUGGUCUGAAAGACAUCAGCAGUAGCUGACGUGGGAUUUACCAUUUUUAGUAUUCAAUAUAUAUUUUAAUGUAAUGUGCCAUCUGUAGUGCACCAUAGAAAUGCAAAUCUCAAAUCAUAUUUUUCCAGUAAGUUUGCUUUUUUUCAUUGCAUGGACAGAGAAAACUUUUAAGAAAUUUACCAUAGCUAAGUUAGAUUAGAAUGAGUAAGUGUUGGACACUUACAAUUAGUCUGUUGGACAGACUAAUUUUUCAACAGGCAUAUGAUACUCUACUGUCUUAUACAGUGCCCAUCUUUUCUCUAGGCCAAACAUAAUUUUGGACUCCCAUUGAUUAAGAUCCUCUGAUUCAAUUUAAGGCAAAUUUAUUGAUUGGCAUAGUCAACAAGUUUUCAUAUGAACAAAAUGUAUACAGCAAAUAAUAGGGGACCCCAAACUGGCAUAAAGCAUUUCAAAUGUUAUUGAAUUUUGAUUUAAAUAUAAAAUUAAAUAAAGAAAUUUAAGAUUUUUUCUAUCUUGCUGCUCAUGGUUAUUUUAUAAUAUUUACACUGAAAUUUAUCCAAAUUUAGCCUUUAGAAUAUACAAUGCUCUAAUAUUGAUGUUAUUAGCUACUCAUAGGAAGUGUUAAAUAUAUUGUAUUCUAACAAAUAAUAAAGGCAAAAAAUCAAUACCUGCUUCAGGAAGCAUUUUGUUUUUAACAUGAUAUGUUUGAAAAUAAAUAGCAUAGAGGGCAUCUGACUGUAUGUUAGCCCGAGGGGUAAUUUGCUUUAACUUGCUGAGCCUGUUAUCAUUUGCUAACAACUCCCAGUUUCUAUUUCAUAGGAUUGUUUUAAGUCCUCAUUGGGCAUUUUAAGUUCUGUUUGAAAGAGCUGCAUCACAAUUCUUAUAAAGGACUUGUUGAAUCAUAAGCUGUUUCCUUAAGCACCAGUUAUGUGGGGGACCUUGUGCCAGGCACUGGGCCACAUAAAUGAGAAUCACAAGGACCAGGAUUAAGAAAAGACAGGUAAGUCCUCUUCUAGAACGUAGCAGUAAGGAAGCACCAACAAAAUAAAAUCGUACUCAAUAUAAUUAAUGGUUAAAUGCAGUAUUUUUACAAAAUAUAAACGUAAAUGUAAAAUAUUACAUAAAUAGAAGGUGAGUAUGACUGAUUUACUCUUUUUGUGUCAGGCUCCAGUGUGACUCAGCACAGUGUUCACAGCCCAUGCUCUCAAGAAUCUCAGCUUAGGAGGAGGCAAAGAGCCGCUCUACAGUAAGGUAAAUAAGUCAUUUAGUCAGGAACUCUGCACAUUUACCUCUGCAUUUAUCAAAUAUUUGUUGAAGGAAAUAAUAAAAGAAGUGAGGAGGAAGAAGAGGUUUCCUGGGAGAAAGCACUCGAGGAGCAAUAGGUGUCCUCUUUCAUUUCCACUAAAUAUGCUGCUCAAUGCCUUGUGGCAUAACAGAAUCAAAACUUUUCAGAUGCCCUGCCGCUUUAACAAGACCCAGGAUAUGUCAAAAUGGCUCCCACAGAACUUUCAUUUGAUCUUAUCUUUCGCUGUCACACACAUCGACCUGCAUUUUCUUUUUUCUUUUUGAUUCUUUAUGUCUGCAAAUGAACUGAUGUAAUUAAAAAGGUGAAGAAAUAA
This 2748-nucleotide long non-coding RNA is filed under the name Homo sapiens (human). RNAcentral describes it as "HSALNT0362368". The record is from RNAcentral. Lineage: Eukaryota; Metazoa; Chordata; Mammalia; Primates; Hominidae.